This 1198-nucleotide ribosomal RNA is filed under the name uncultured bacterium. RNAcentral describes it as "bacterial SSU rRNA". It matches the Rfam family "Bacterial small subunit ribosomal RNA", at positions 220 to 1398 of the family's 1533-position model. The record is from RNAcentral.
CAGGAACGAGCUCGCGGCCUAUCAGCUUCGUUCGGUGGGGUAAAAGGCCUACCAAGGCGUCGACGGGUAGCCGGCCUGAGAGGGUCGGAACGGCCACAUUGGGACUGAGAUACGGCCCAGAACUCCUACGGGAGGCAGCAGUGGGGAAAUAUUGCACAAUGGGCGCAAGCCUGAAGCAGCGACGCCGCGUGGGGGAAGACCGGCCUUCGGGUUUGUAAACUCCUUUUCGUUAGGGACGAAAGCCGCACUUUUUUUUGGGUUGUGGUGACGGUACCUUUUGUUAAGAAGCACCGGCUAACUACGUGCCAGCAGCCGCGGUAAUACGUAGGGUGCGAGCGUUGUCCGGAAUUACUGGGCGUAAAGAGCUCGUAGGUGGUUUGUUGCGUCGUCUGUGAAAUUCCGGGGCUUAACUUCGGGGUGGCAGGCGAUACGGGCAUAACUAGAGUGCUGUAGGGGAGACUGGAAUUCCUGGUGUAGCGGUGGAAUGCGCAGAUAUCAGGAGGAACACCGAUGGCGAAGGCAGGUCUCUGGGCAGUAACUGACGCUGAGGAGCGAAAGCAUGGGGAGCGAACAGGAUUAGAUACCCUGGUAGUCCAUGCUGUAAACGGUGGGCGUUAGGUGUGGGGACCGGUUUGGUUUCUGUGCCGUAGCUAACGCAUUAAGCGCCCCGCCUGGGGAGUACGGCCGCAAGGCUAAAACUCAAAGGAAUUGACGGGGGCCCGCACAAGCGGCGGAGCAUGUGGAUUAAUUCGAUGCAACGCGAAGAACCUUACCUGGGUUUGACAUGCACCAGACGGUUGUAGAGAUACGUACCUCCCUUUGUGGUUGGUGUGCAGGUGGUGCAUGGUUGUCGCCAGCUCGUGUCGUGAGAUGUUGGGUUAAGUCCCGCAACGAGCGCAACCCUUGUCUUAUGUUGCCAGCACGUUUGGGUGGGGACUCAUGAGAGACUGCCGGGGUUAACUCGGAGGAAGGUGGGGAUGACGUCAAAUCAUCAUGCCCUUUAUGCCCAGGGCUUCACACAUGCUACAAUGGUUAGUACAACGCGCAGCAAACCUGUGAGGGUGAGCGAAUCGCUGAAAGCUAAUCUCAGUUCGGAUUGGGGUCUGCAACUCGACCCCAUGAAGUCGGAGUCGCUAGUAAUCGCAGAUCAGCAAUGCUGCGGUGAAUACGUUCCCGGGCCUUGUACACACCGCCCGUC